UACGGAGGGUGCGAGCGUUGUCCGGAAUCACUGGGCGUAAAGGGCGCGUAGGCGGCGCGGGAAGUCAUCGGUGAAAGUUCAGGGCUCAACUCUGAAUCGGCCGGUGAUACUCUCGUGCUUGAGCACUGUAGAGGCAGGUGGAAUUCCGGGUGUAGCGGUGGAAUGCGUAGAGAUCCGGAAGAACACCGGUGGCGAAGGCGGCCUGCUGGGCCAGUAGC
This 218-nucleotide ribosomal RNA is filed under the name uncultured bacterium. Its description in RNAcentral is "partial 16S ribosomal RNA". It matches the Rfam family "Bacterial small subunit ribosomal RNA", at positions 524 to 740 of the family's 1533-position model. The record is from RNAcentral.